GAUGAAGAACGUAGCGAAAUGCGAUAAGUAGUGUGAAUUGCAGAAUUCAGUGAAUCAUCGAAUCUUUGAACGCACAUUGCACCCCUUGGUAUCCCGAGGGGCAUGCCUGUUCGAGCGUCAUUUCACCACUCAAGCCUGGCUUGGUGUUGGGCGACGUCCUCUUUGGGGACGCGCCUCGAAACGCUCGGCGGCGUGGCACCGGCUUUAAGCGUAGCAGAAUCUUUCGCUUUGGAAGUCGGGGCCCCGUCUGCCGGAAGACCUGCUCGCAAGGUUGACCUCGGAUCAGGCAGGGAUACCCGCUGAACUUAAGCAUAUCAAUAAGCGGAGGA
This 329-nucleotide unclassified non-coding RNA is filed under the name soil metagenome. RNAcentral describes it as "partial contains 5.8S ribosomal RNA, internal transcribed spacer 2, and large subunit ribosomal RNA". The stretch from base 1 to 120 matches the Rfam family "5.8S ribosomal RNA", at positions 35 to 154 of the family's 154-position model. The record is from RNAcentral.